This 424-nucleotide ribosomal RNA is filed under the name Verrucomicrobiota bacterium. Its description in RNAcentral is "Verrucomicrobia bacterium partial 16S ribosomal RNA". It matches the Rfam family "Bacterial small subunit ribosomal RNA", at positions 355 to 776 of the family's 1533-position model. The record is from RNAcentral. Lineage: Bacteria; Pseudomonadati; Verrucomicrobiota.
UGAGGAAUAUUGGUCAAUGGACGCAAGUCUGAACCAGCCAAGUAGCGUGCAGGAUGACGGCCCUAUGGGUUGUAAACUGCUUUUAUAUGGGGAUAAAGUGAGGAACGUGUUCCCUUUUGCAGGUACCAUAUGAAUAAGGACCGGCUAAUUCCGUGCCAGCAGCCGCGGUAAUACGGAAGGUUCGGGCGUUAUCCGGAUUUAUUGGGUUUAAAGGGAGCGUAGGCCGUUUGGUAAGCGUGUUGUGAAAUGUAGGAGCUCAACUUCUAGAUUGCAGCGCGAACUGUCAGACUUGAGUGCGCACAACGUAGGCGGAAUUCAUGGUGUAGCGGUGAAAUGCUUAGAUAUCAUGAAGAACUCCGAUUGCGAAGGCAGCUUACGGGAGCGCAACUGACGCUGAAGCUCGAAGGUGCGGGUAUCGAACAGG